RNAcentral lists this transfer RNA (72 nucleotides) under Loxodonta africana (African savanna elephant). It matches the Rfam family "tRNA". From Rfam's summary of the family: Transfer RNA (tRNA) molecules are approximately 80 nucleotides in length. Lineage: Eukaryota; Metazoa; Chordata; Mammalia; Proboscidea; Elephantidae. The record is from Rfam by way of RNAcentral.
GCCCCGGUGACAUAAUGGUUAAGUGCUUGGCUGCUAACUGAAAGGUUGGUGGUUCUAACCUACCCAGUGGCU